GUGGGGAAUCUUCCGCAAUGGACGAAAGUCUGACGGAGCAACGCCGCGUGAGUGAAGAAGGUUUUCGGAUCGUAAAGCUCUUUCGUUAGGGACGAACGUGCUCUUUGUGAAUAAUGAGGAGUAAUGACGGUACCUAAAUAAGAAGCCACGGCUAACUACGUGCCAGCAGCCGCGGUAAUACGUAGGUGGCAAGCGUUGUCCGGAAUUAUUGGGCGUAAAGCGCGCGCAGGCGGGAUAUCAAGUCUGUCUUAAAAGUGCGAGGCUAAACCUCGUGAGGGGACAGAAACUGGUAUUCUUGAGUGUCGGAGAGGAAAGUGGAAUUCCAAGUGUAGCGGUGAAAUGCGUAGAGAUUUGGAAGAACACCAGUGGCGAAGGCGACUUUCUGGACGAUGUCUGACGCUGAGGCGCGAAAGCUAGGGGAGCGAACGGGAUUAGAAACCCCAGUAGUCC
This 450-nucleotide ribosomal RNA is filed under the name uncultured bacterium. RNAcentral describes it as "partial 16S ribosomal RNA". It matches the Rfam family "Bacterial small subunit ribosomal RNA", at positions 354 to 796 of the family's 1533-position model. The record is from RNAcentral.